Molecule: long non-coding RNA, 1005 nt
Filed under: Lupinus mutabilis
Lineage: Eukaryota; Viridiplantae; Streptophyta; Magnoliopsida; Fabales; Fabaceae
Description: partial ncRNA
Source: RNAcentral
UCGUGGCAGCCUUUUCCCGGGGUUCACGUGGAUGCAUGGGGUUGCCCGGUGUUGCUACCUCCACAAGCUUCUUGUUUUCCUUACACUCAAGCAAGUAUCAGUGAUUUGAAUAACUUUGUUUCUGUGCUAUUUUUGUAUGUUAAUAAUAGCCAUGCUUUCAUAAUUUACCAUUGCUAGUUAUUGAAUAAUUUACCAUAGUGAUGCUAAUUAGAUAGUUUCACUAACCUGCAGGACAUGGUUGGAUUGCAAAAUGCCAAAGCAGUGGAUUAUAGAUUUGACAUGCCACAAAAGUCUUUUGAGCAUCAUCCGGCAGAAGAGGUUGUCGACAAGGUUGUGAAGGAGGCAAUGAGCAAACCAUGGCUGCCCUUGCCUAUAGGCCUCAAACCUCCUUCGGCCGAUAGCGUGUUGUCUGAGUUCUCAAAGCAAGGCAUAUCCAGCGCACCCCUCUUGGCAGCAAGUGUUCUAAACCCCACUGAUGUGCACCAGAGAUGACUAGCCUACUCAACAUUGGUUCUAAAGAGAUUCUUCAGUGUUCCUUGUGCAAUAAAAGUGUGUAAUAUUCAACAUAUGUGCCACCCUAGCUACUAUAGCUUUAAGAUAUUGAGUAAAGAUUCAAUAUCUUGCAUCACCAACAAUCACCAACCCACCACCCAAGUUGUUGAGUGUUACAUCAUAUGCAAUGCAAUACAAUACAAUGAUGCAAUACAAAGUAACAUGACUCUCUAUCAAUCAUUACCACUUAGAAAAAAACUCAAAAAGGUUCAUUUGCUUUUACCUUUAAUUGAACACAUGAAUUUUUCUACUGUGUGCCACCCUCAGGAUUAUGUGGGAACUCUGUUAAAUAUCGUGUUCAUUGUUUUCUUUUGUUUUUUUAUUGAUAUCUCAAUAAUAUAUGCAUGAAUGUGAGACUAUUCAUUCAUCCCCAAUGAUGAUCAGGUAAAAUUCUUCACUCAAUUAUGAUUUCAGGAUUUUAACCUCAUUUUUCACUGUUCAAAUUCUUUUGCG